ACGUAGGGUGCGAGCGUUAAUCGGAAUUACUGGGCGUAAAGCGUGCGCAGGCGGUUUUGUAAGACAGAUGUGAAAUCCCCGGGCUUAACCUGGGAACUGCAUUUGUGACUGCAAGACUAGAGUGUGUCAGAGGGAGGUGGAAUUCCGCGUGUAGCAGUGAAAUGCGUAGAGAUGCGGAAGAACACCGAUGGCGAAGGCAGCCUCCUGGGAUAACACUGACGCUCAGGCACGAAAGCGUGGGGAGCAAACAGGAUUAGAUACCCUGGUAGUCCACGCCCUAAACGAUGUCAACUAGUUGUUGGGGAUUCAUUUCCUUAGUAACGUAGCUAACGCGUGAAGUUGACCGCCUGGGGAGUACGGCCGCAAGGUUA
Molecule: ribosomal RNA, 371 nt
Filed under: uncultured bacterium
Lineage: Bacteria
Description: bacterial SSU rRNA
Rfam family: Bacterial small subunit ribosomal RNA
Source: RNAcentral